This 522-nucleotide ribosomal RNA is filed under the name uncultured Spartobacteria bacterium. Its description in RNAcentral is "bacterial SSU rRNA". It matches the Rfam family "Bacterial small subunit ribosomal RNA", at positions 9 to 510 of the family's 1533-position model. Lineage: Bacteria; Pseudomonadati; Verrucomicrobiota; Spartobacteria. The record is from RNAcentral.
GAGUUUGAUCUUGGCUCAGAACGAACGCUGGCGGCGUGGAUAAGACAUGCAAGUCGAACGGAUUUGUCUCUGUAGCAAUACGGAGGCAGGUCAGUGGCGCAAGGGUGCGUAACACGUGGGCAACCUGCCCUGGAGUUUGGGAUAGCCCGCCGAAAGGCGGAUUAAUACCGGAUGUGGCUACCGACUGAUUAGUCGGGACGCUAAAGGUGGCGCAAGCUGCCGCUCCUGGAUGGGCCCGCGGCCUAUCAGCUUGUUGGUGAGGUAACGGCUCACCAAGGCUAUGACGGGUAGCUGGUCUGAGAGGACGACCAGCCACACUGGAACUGAGACACGGUCCAGACACCUACGGGUGGCAGCAGUCGAGAAUUUUUCUCAAUGGGGGAAACCCUGAAGGAGCGACGCCGCGUGGAGGAUGAAGGUCUUCGGAUUGUAAACUCCUGUCAUUGGUGAACAAGGCACUCCCGUUAACUGCGGGGGUGUUUGAUAGUAGCCGAAGAGGAAGGGACGGCUAACUCUGUGCCA